This 468-nucleotide ribosomal RNA is filed under the name uncultured bacterium. RNAcentral describes it as "bacterial SSU rRNA". It matches the Rfam family "Bacterial small subunit ribosomal RNA", at positions 335 to 803 of the family's 1533-position model. The record is from RNAcentral.
ACUCCUACGGGAGGCAGCAGUGAGGAAUAUUGGUCAAUGGGCGCAAGCCUGAACCAGCCAUGCCGCGUGCAGGAAGACUGCCCUAUGGGUUGUAAACUGCUUUUAUACAGGAAGAAACACUCCCUCGUGAGGGAGCUUGACGGUACUGUAAGAAUAAGGAUCGGCUAACUCCGUGCCAGCAGCCGCGGUAAUACGGAGGAUCCAAGCGUUAUCCGGAAUCAUUGGGUUUAAAGGGUCGUAGGUGGAUUAGUAAGUCAGAGGUGAAAUCCUGCAGCUCAACUGUAGAACUGCCUUUGAUACUGCUAGUCUUGAGUCAUUAUGAAGUGGUUAGAAUGUGUAGUGUAGCGGUGAAAUGCAUAGAUAUUACACAGAAUACCGAUUGCGAAGGCAGAUCACUAAUAAUGUACUGACACUGAUGGACGAAAGCGUGGGAGCGAACAGGAUUAGAUACCCCGUGGUAGCGACUGA